UGGGGGAUCGUCUAAUGGUAGGACACCGACCUUUGAAGUCGAGAAUUUAGGUUCGAUUCCUAGUCCCCCAG
This 71-nucleotide transfer RNA is filed under the name bacterium. RNAcentral describes it as "tRNA-Gln". It matches the Rfam family "tRNA". Rfam says of the family: Transfer RNA (tRNA) molecules are approximately 80 nucleotides in length. Their secondary structure includes four short double-helical elements and three loops (D, anti-codon, and T loops). The record is from RNAcentral.